Molecule: ribosomal RNA, 253 nt
Filed under: uncultured bacterium
Lineage: Bacteria
Description: partial 16S ribosomal RNA
Rfam family: Bacterial small subunit ribosomal RNA
Source: RNAcentral
UACGGAGGGUGCAAGCGUUAUUCGGAUUGACUGGGCGUAAAGCGCGCGUAGGCGGCUAGCUAAGUCUGAUGUGAAAUCCCUAGACUCAAUCUAGGAAGUGCAUUGGAUACUGGCUGGCUGGAGUAUGGGAGGGGAGAGCGGAAUUCCUGGUGUAGAGGUGAAAUUCGUAGAUAUCAGGAGGAACAACAGAGGCGAAGGCGGCUCUCUGGACCAUAACUGACGCUGAGGCGCGAAAGCGUGGGGAGCAAACAGG